UACCAACGUCCUCCUGUAAGAGAUGUCUCC
Molecule: non-coding RNA, 30 nt
Filed under: Rattus norvegicus (Norway rat)
Lineage: Eukaryota; Metazoa; Chordata; Mammalia; Rodentia; Muridae
Source: RNAcentral